This 440-nucleotide ribosomal RNA is filed under the name uncultured bacterium. RNAcentral's name for it is "partial 16S ribosomal RNA". It matches the Rfam family "Bacterial small subunit ribosomal RNA", at positions 338 to 795 of the family's 1533-position model. The record is from RNAcentral.
CCUACGGGCGGCAGCAGUCGAGAAUCAUUCACAAUGGGGGAAACCCUGAUGGUGCGACGCCGCGUGGGGGAAGAAGUAAUUCGUUAUGUAAAGCUCUAUUAGCAGGGAAGAAAAUGACGGUACCUGAGUAAGACGCCCCGGCUAACUACGUGACAGCAGCCGCGGUAAUACGGAGGGGGCAAGCGUUAUCCGGAUUUACGGGGCGUAAAGGGAGCGUAGACGGCAGUGCAAGUCUGGAGUGAAAGGCUGGGGCUCAACCCCCGAACUGCUCUGGAAACUGUAUGGCUGGAGUGCAGGAGAGGUAAGUGGAAUUCCUGGUGUAGCGGUGAAAUGCGUAGAUAUUAGGAGGAACACCAGUGGCGAAGGCGGCUUACUGGACUGUAACUGACGUUGAGGCUCGAAAGCGUGGGUAGCAAACAGGAUUAGAUACCCCAGUAGUC